GAUGAACGCUAGCGACAGGCCUAACACAUGCAAGUCGAGGGGCAGCACAUGAGUAGCAAUACGAUGGUGGCGACCGGCGCACGGGUGAGUAACACGUAUGCAACCUGCCUGUAAGCGGGGGAUAACCCGGAGAAAUUCGGACUAAUACCGCAUAACACUGAUAAUUUGCAUGAAUUUUCAGUUAAAUAUUUAUAGCUUACAGAUGGGCAUGCGUAUGAUUAGAUAGUUGGUAGGGUAACGGCCUACCAAGUCAACGAUCAUUAGGGGUUCUGAGAGGAAGGUCCCCCACACUGGUACUGAGACACGGACCAGACUCCUACGGGAGGCAGCAGUGAGGAAUAUUGGUCAAUGGGCGAGAGCCUGAACCAGCCAAGUCGCGUGAAGGAAGACGGUUCUAUGAAUUGUAAACUUCUUUUGUAGAGGAAUAAAGUGGGUUACGUGUAGCCUUUUGUAUGUACUUUACGAAUAAGGAUCGGCUAACUCCGUGCCAGCAGCCG
This 497-nucleotide ribosomal RNA is filed under the name uncultured bacterium. RNAcentral describes it as "bacterial SSU rRNA". It matches the Rfam family "Bacterial small subunit ribosomal RNA", at positions 28 to 517 of the family's 1533-position model. The record is from RNAcentral.